GGUAAGAAGGGGGACGUUUACAAGCCUAGGUUUUAUGUCGACAUACUCCGCUGAUCAUCUUCACCACACACGGGAACGUAUACCUACCUAUAUUCGAUAUUAUGCAUAUUUACUAUAAUUUAUUAGCCGUUGUAUCACCUUAUAUGCAGGUACACGGCCAUUAUAUCUCUGGGACAAAAAAAAAAUUAACUGUAGUCCAACAAACAGAAAUGCCGUGAGUCCGCGCGUCGUGACUUAUUUUAUUUCAAGUCGAGAACAAGGUAGCUAAGUUCCAUGCUUAUUGUAGUCAGUAUACUAUAAACAAAUUGAAGCAUAUUUUUUCAUUGUAAUUUUUAAGGAUUAACCGAAUUUUCUCUAUAAUAAUAAUUUUUAAUAACUACUGAUGAAAAAAAAGAAGUCAUAAGUGUU
This is a long non-coding RNA of Aphis gossypii (cotton aphid), 408 nucleotides long. RefSeq lists it as uncharacterized. The record is from RefSeq and is a predicted model, not a curated record. Lineage: Eukaryota; Metazoa; Arthropoda; Insecta; Hemiptera; Aphididae. The transcript has 3 exons.